This 1251-nucleotide ribosomal RNA is filed under the name uncultured Rhizaria. Its description in RNAcentral is "SSU rRNA". It matches the Rfam family "Eukaryotic small subunit ribosomal RNA", at positions 564 to 1831 of the family's 1831-position model. The record is from RNAcentral.
GUGCUGGAAUUCCCCCUUCGGUAAUUCCUUUUCCUAUAGCGUAUACUAUAGUUGUUGCAGUUUAAAAGCUCGUAGUUGGAUUUCGUGCGGGGACGGAGCGGCCGGACGCUACUUGCGUCUCGAGCUAGCGCUUUCCCCGCAUCCUGCCGCGAACCGCGCUGCCAUUAAUUUGGGGGCGCUGGGGAUCGGUUCGAUUACUUUGACAAAAAUAGAGCGCUCAAAGCACGCCACACGCCUUGAAUAAGUUAGCAUGGAAUAAUGACUAAUGACUUUGGGUCUUUUCGUUGGUGUUCGGGACUGAAGUAAUGAUUGAUAGGUACAGUUGGGGGGGUCCGUAUUCCAUAGAGAGAGGUGAAAUUCUUAUACCUUCGGAAGACCAACAGCUGCUAAAGCGUUCCGCGAGGAUGUUCCCUUUGAUCAGAACGAAUGGUGGGGGAUCGAAGACGAUCAGAUACCGUCGUACUCUCUACUAUAAACUAUACCACCUAGGGAUCGGCCCACGUUUAAUUAUUCGACUUGCUCGGCACCUUAUGAGAAAUCAAAGCAUCUGGAUUCCGGGGGGAGUAUGGUCGCAAGGCUGAAACUUAAAGGAAUUGACGGAAGGGCACCACCAGGCGUGGAGCCUGUGGCUUAAUUUGACUCAACACGGGAAAACUUACCAGGUCCAGACAUAGGAAGGAUUGACAGAUUGAUAGCUCUUUCUUGAUUCUGAGGGUGGUGGUGCAUGGCCGUUUUUAGUCGGUGAAGUGAUUUGUCUGCUUAAUUGCGUUAACGGACGAGACCCCAGCUUGGUAAAUAGCGCGGCCGAGCUUUGCUCGGUACGAGCUUCUUAGAGGGUCCAUGAUGCGCGAUAGCAUAAGGAAGUUUGGGGCAACAAUAGGUCUGUGAUGUCUUUAGAUGUUCUGGGCCGCACACGGGCUACACUGGCGCGUGCAACGAGCAUAUCAGAUGUCCCGAGAGGGUCUAGGUCUAAUCUUUGGAACCGGACACCGUGCUACGGGAUUGUCCAUUGCAAUUGUUGGUCAUGCAACAAGGACUGCCUUGUAAACGCGAGUCAUCAUCUCGCAUAGAAUCCGUCCCUGCCCUUAGUACACACCGACCGUCGCUCCUCCCGAUGAAUGUUCCGAUGAAAUUUUCGGAGAGCGCCGGAGAACGGGGCUCUGCCCUGCAGAUCUGGAGGAUCAAAGUCAUUUAAAUCUGAACAUUUCGAGGAAGGAGAAGUCGUAACAAGGUAGCCGUAAGGGCGAAAAG